GAGGCUCAGUGGCAGAACAUCUGCCUCGCAUGCAGAAGUCCCGGGAUAAAUCCCAGUGGUCCACCA
Podarcis lilfordi (Lilford's wall lizard) is the source of this 66-nucleotide non-coding RNA. The record is from the annotation of a GenBank genome assembly. Lineage: Eukaryota; Metazoa; Chordata; Lepidosauria; Squamata; Lacertidae.